This 202-nucleotide unclassified non-coding RNA is filed under the name Hevea brasiliensis (rubber tree). Lineage: Eukaryota; Viridiplantae; Streptophyta; Magnoliopsida; Malpighiales; Euphorbiaceae. The record is from RNAcentral.
GAAAUCUUCUUUCUCCAUCGUCCUCGGCUUGCAAAUUCGAUGGCUGCGAUCGCUUGUUCUGUUGAAGGUUCGUACUCGUUUAGCUGGCGUCCUCAUCCUUUGGGUGAAGAGAGGAUUUCGAAUUCAAAAGGGGACAUGGAAUCACGAAUUUGCCCCAAACCUUCUUUCGUUUUCACCCCGCUCUCCACCUUUGAGCAGUAGC